Long non-coding RNA from Eptesicus fuscus (big brown bat), 827 nucleotides. RefSeq lists it as uncharacterized. NCBI's taxonomy places the organism in Eukaryota, Metazoa, Chordata, Mammalia, Chiroptera, Vespertilionidae. The record is from RefSeq and is a predicted model, not a curated record. The transcript is spliced from 3 exons.
UACAGUUGAAAAGGAACAGUUGUGCUUUCAUGGUGUGCUUCUGUUUGUUGUCAAACAGCAGCUGAUAGUUCAUCAAAUUAGCCGACUUUUUAGUGUUGGGGAAACAUUCCCUUACCUUCCUCAGCCUUGCCUUGCAAAUCUCUCACCAAAAUUACUGGACCUUUGGAACUCAUAGUAACAUGUGUGCAGGAGACGGUUCUUGCUUUGGAUACCAGAUUCCACAGAACAUCACCCACCUAUGAAAAUGUGAACAGAGCCUUGCGUGCACUGCGGCUGCCCAAGUUCAUCACCAGGCCGUCUCCCAGGCCAGCGCUGGCUUACUGUGCCACCUCUUCUACAAAGCCUCUUGACUCACCCACCGAAAAUACCUCUUUUUCCUCUCACUGCAUUCUGCUUGUAUCAUUUAAAAAUAACCAUCUGAAUGGAGAUUAUCUAUGCUCAAGAGUCCUUUAAAAGUGGUAAAAUUAUCAAGUGAUGGGGAUCUAUCAAAAUCAUUGAAACUUGCACUUGAGGUUGCAAAUGAUAUUGCAUCAGUGAAUUAACUUUUACUAAUUAUCUUCAUCUCUCUUCAGAAUGUACAAAAAAUAAUGGAAAUAUAGUAGAAUAUUAUUUGGGAGUCUAAAUACUAGGAGCAUCCAAACAUUGGAAGUAUUUAAAAAAGAUCUCAUCAGUUUGAAGCAGAUGAUUUUGCAAGAAUGUAAGGCAUGUAGUGAUGUGAAUGACUGGUCACUCAGCCCAGCUCAUGGUGUCUUCAAAAGGGAGGUACAGUCAUAAGGAACCUAUUAAAAAAGACUACCAGAGGCUAUUUCAUGUUGUAAAAAAUCUCA